UACGUAGGGUGCAAGCGUUGUCCGGAAUUAUUGGGCGUAAAGAGCUCGUAGGCGGCUUGUCACGUCGACUGUGAAAACCCGGGGCUCAACUCCGGGCCUGCAGUCGAUACGGGCUGGCUUGAGUGCGGUAGGGGAGACUGGAAUUCCUGGUGUAGCGGUGAAGUGCGCAGAUAUCAGGAGGAACACCGGUGGCGAAGGCGGGUCUCUGGGCCGUAACUGACGCUGAGACGCGAAAGCGUGGGGAGCAAACAGG
This 253-nucleotide ribosomal RNA is filed under the name uncultured bacterium. RNAcentral describes it as "partial 16S ribosomal RNA". It matches the Rfam family "Bacterial small subunit ribosomal RNA", at positions 524 to 776 of the family's 1533-position model. The record is from RNAcentral.